RNAcentral lists this ribosomal RNA (247 nucleotides) under uncultured bacterium. RNAcentral describes it as "partial 16S ribosomal RNA". It matches the Rfam family "Bacterial small subunit ribosomal RNA", at positions 98 to 339 of the family's 1533-position model. The record is from RNAcentral.
GCGCACGGGUGAGUAAUACGUAGGUAAUGUACCGUUUGGCGUGGGAUAACCGACCGAAAGGUUGGCUAAUACCGCAUAAGUUCUCUUGAGGUUCGCCGAAGGAGAAGAAAGAAGGGCAACUUUCACCGAACGAUCGGCCUGCGUCCCAUCAGCUAGUUGGUGAGGUAAUGGCUCACCAAGGCGACGACGGGUAGCUGGUCUGAGAGGAUGAUCAGCCACACUGGGACUGAGACACGGCCCAGACUCC